RNAcentral lists this ribosomal RNA (464 nucleotides) under uncultured bacterium. Its description in RNAcentral is "bacterial SSU rRNA". It matches the Rfam family "Bacterial small subunit ribosomal RNA", at positions 330 to 792 of the family's 1533-position model. The record is from RNAcentral.
UCCAGACUCCUACGGGAGGCAGCAGUGAGGAAUAUUGGUCAAUGGUCGGGAGACUGAACCAGCCAAGCCGCGUGAGGGAGGAAGGUACAGAGUAUCGUAAACCUCUUUUGUCAGGGAACAAAGACUGGGACGCGUCCCCGGAUGAGUGUACCUGAAGAAAAAGCAUCGGCUAACUCCGUGCCAGCAGCCGCGGUAAUACGGAGGAUGCGAGCGUUAUCCGGAUUUAUUGGGUUUAAAGGGUGCGUAGGCGGGAUGCCAAGUCAGGGGUAAAAAUGCGGUGCUCAACGCCGUCGAGCCGUUGAAACUGGCGUUCUUGAGUGGGCGAGAAGUAUGCGGAAUGCGUGGUGUAGCGGUGAAAUGCAUAGAUAUCACGCAGAACUCCGAUUGCGAAGGCAGCAUACCGGCGCCCUACUGACGCUGAGGCACGAAAGCGUGGGUAUCGAACAGGAUUAGAUACCCCCGUA